AACAAAAACAUGUCUUUUUGAUAAUAAUUUAAAGUCUGACCUGCCCAAUGAUUAUUGUUGAAUGGCUGCGGUAUUUUGACCGUACUAAGGUAGCAUAAUAAUUAGUUUUUUAAUUGAAAGCUGGUAUGAAUGGUUGGACGAGGGAAUUACUGUCUCAAUUUAAUUUAUAUUAGAAUUUUAUUUUUAAGUAAAAAAGCUUAAAUGAAUUUUAAAGACGAGAAGACCCUAUAGAGUUUUAUAUUUUAUUAUAAUUAUAAAUUUAAGGAAUUAGUUAUUUUAAUUAUGAUAAAAUAUUUUGUUGGGGUGACAAAAAAAUUUAAAGAACUUUUUUUAUAUAAAAUCAUUGAUUUAUGAAUAAGUGAUCCAUUUAUUAUGAUUAAAAGAUUAAAUUACCUUAGGGAUAACAGCGUAAGUUUUUUUGAGAGUUCAUAUCGAAAGAAAAGUUC
RNAcentral lists this ribosomal RNA (446 nucleotides) under Omorgus squalidus. Its description in RNAcentral is "partial 16S ribosomal RNA". The stretch from base 1 to 156 matches the Rfam family "Archaeal large subunit ribosomal RNA", at positions 1898 to 2099 of the family's 2987-position model. Lineage: Eukaryota; Metazoa; Arthropoda; Insecta; Coleoptera; Trogidae. The record is from RNAcentral.